Unclassified non-coding RNA from Chlorocebus sabaeus (green monkey), 177 nucleotides. The record is from Ensembl. NCBI's taxonomy places the organism in Eukaryota, Metazoa, Chordata, Mammalia, Primates, Cercopithecidae.
AGGAAUUUGCCCCCCAAACAGAUUGCCCUGAUGUCCAACCCGAAGAAGUGAAACUGCUGCUGGGUCUGGAGAGGUGAAGCCCCGUGGCCAGCUUCUGUCACCGCCAUCUGCCAUUGCUUUUUGUUCCCUUGCUUUUGGUUUUGCAAGAAGCAUGGCCUCUGUCUCUGUCUGAUCUGC